UAUUAAAAUUUCACUAUUUUAUUAUUAAAAACUGACGUAGCUGACAGAAUAACUAAAUGGUGACACAUGGCAUGUUACGUGUACUUCAUGUUGAUGUACAAAUCAUUUUUUAACAGUAACAAUAGGUGUAAUUUUUAAUA
Molecule: microRNA precursor, 140 nt
Filed under: Gossypium arboreum
Lineage: Eukaryota; Viridiplantae; Streptophyta; Magnoliopsida; Malvales; Malvaceae
Description: MIR7502 microRNA precursor family
Rfam family: MIR7502 microRNA precursor family
Source: Rfam by way of RNAcentral